Molecule: ribosomal RNA, 212 nt
Filed under: uncultured bacterium
Lineage: Bacteria
Description: partial 16S ribosomal RNA
Rfam family: Bacterial small subunit ribosomal RNA
Source: RNAcentral
UACGGAGGGGGCUAGCGUUGUUCGGAAUUACUGGGCGUAAAGCGCGCGUAGGCGGAUCUGCAAGUCGGGGGUGAAAUCCCGAGGCUCAACCUCGGAACUGCCUUCGAUACUGCAGGUCUCGAGUCCGGGAGAGGUGAGUGGAAUUCCGUAGUGUAGAGGUGAAAUUCGUAGAUAUUAGGAAGAACACCAGUGGCGAAGGCGGCUCACUGGCC